GCUGUUUUUAAAUUACACCAAGUUUAUUUCGGAUUAUUCCAAGAAGAAUACAAGGCGCAGGGAACUUUAAGGAAGUCAGUGGAUAUGGAUCCUCAUUGCAAGAUUUGCUGAAACCAAGGCUCGCAAAAUAAGAUUUUAAGGACAAAAGGGAGAAAAUACAAAGAAAAAGGGACAGGAAGAUGUGUAAAAGGGACAGAAGAGAAAAAGGGAGAGAGAUGAUGUGAAAAAGGGGCAGGAAGAGAGGGACAACAGGUAAAACAAAUAAUACAUGUGUCUUAUGUUUAAAAUGUAUCUGUAUAAUUGACCUGUAUUGUGUGUUGUCUUCUCAUGUCAGCGCCACAACAUAGAGGACAGCUUCUACUGGCUUGCUGCUACCCACCUCUGCCACCUGAGCUGUGUAAAGGUAAAUCAUCUCUCACAUACACAGUCAUGCAAUUACGACUUAUCUAUUGAAAUCUGUAGGCAGCAGUGGCUCAGGAAGUGGAGCGGGUCGUCCAAUAAUCAAUGGUUUGGCGGUUCGAAUCACAGUCUCUCCCUUCGUAGUGUCUUUGGGCAAAAAAAUAAUAAUUUGAUGUAUGUGAUCCAUCGUAAGUAUUCUAUCAAAUUUCUUAAAUCUGCCACUGGGUGGUGCACGAGCUCAACUCUGGGUCAACCUACUCCGAGUUGAUUGAACCAACUCUAAAAAGCUGUUCUGAAGCCCAAAACUCAGAGUUCCCAUCUCAGGGUAAAUCAACUCAGGGUUUGUUAAACCUCCUAUUGAAAUGGACCCCAGUCCAUCGAAGAAAAAAAACAGCUGUAUUAUUGAGUAAAGAAUCAUUGUCAACGACAGCUUGAGGUUGUGUGUUCCCUGUGUGUUAUUUAUAAUAAAUAAACAUUUAUUUAUUAUAAAAGGUACACACUGUGCUUUAUUGACGACAGUAUGUGUUGGAGGAAACAUGAGAGAGUGUUAGGAGAGCGGCUCCGACCCCCAACGCAUGUGGCCAGGCAUCCAGGCCAUCAUGACCAUAAGGCAACCAACUCUACCCCCCGAAACAGUGACGCCUCCUUCCCUGACGAGCUGAGCAGCUUUUACGCUCGCGUCGACAGGGACAAUGAGGACGUGGCCUGUACAUCUCCUUGAAUGACAUGUUGCAGUAAAGUACAUUUACACCAUUUAAAGCCCUCAAAGACUCUCACACUAAACUUACCAGGUAUGAUGAUAAAUACAAAAGAGCAGUAUGAUGUAAAGACACACUGUAGAUUGCUGGUGUGAUGAUGGUGUGAUAUUUGAGCCUCUUCUCCUCUGUCUCCUCUCACAGGGAGGAGAUGAUCUGCAGGAUCCUGGUGAUCUUCAUCCUGACCUCCUGUGUCUGUGCAGGGUCAUUUGUAGUCAAUGUGACACAGAGCUGGUAUCAUGCAGAGGAGAACCACAACGUCUCACUGGAAUGGAUGUUCCCCACCAGCACGGACCACUCCACCAACUCCCUUUAUGUCUCAUGCGAGAUGUUAGUUGAUAUGAUACCAUUACUCAUGUUUCAUCUACAUAAAGGUGUUGAGUUCCCAGAGUUGCAGGACAAACGCUUUGCAGGACGAGUCCAGUGGGACAAAGACGUCCUCGGAGAAGGACAACUCAGACUUCACAUCUCCAGACUCCAGACUAAUGACUCGGGGCUGUACUGGUGUGAAGUGGACACAAGUUAUGGGAGGAACUUUAAGGAAUGUCACCUCAACGUCACCGGUAGGUUCAUUAAGUUAAAUUUACUAACACGUUCAGCAACUUCAUUCAGAUACAUUUUUUUUUUCUUUACAUGAAUAAAAAAUAUUUCUCUGGUCUCUUUGCAGCAGUGAAGGAUCGGCCUGAGACAACAAGUGAUACGAGUCUGAGAAGAAGUCCUCAGGGAAUGAUCGGCCUCUACUCUGCACUGGGACUGACCGCUGUACUGGGUUUUUAUUUAUUUUAUCUCUGCAUGGCAAAAAAUAUUAGAGAUCAACACAACAAACGAACCACAUCUGUAUCUUGGACAUCUUGGAUCUUGUAAAGUGGACGUUACAAUUUAAUUGUGUUGUUGUGCAACUGGUCAGACCGGCCGUCUGAGGAACUAGCUUUUUCCCAGAGCUGUUACAUUACAUUACAGGUCACCCUUUUGAACUCUUUCCCCCCCCUCUGGUCCCCAUUACACUACUCUAUCUGCACUGAAGACACUUUAUACCAUUUGUUUACUCUCAAUUCAAUAUGCACUUAAUAUUUGCACUAGUUUAGCAACCCCUGAUGGUUUCUGUUUAUAUCUCCACAUUUAAUGUGAAUCUGUCUGUUUUGCCUAAUUUAUUACCAAAUAGUACCAUAGGCCAUAAGACAACCUCUGUAUAGUGUUUAAUGUAUCUAUGAUCUGUAUAUACUGUUAUCUAUUAAAAUACUUUCUGUUGCACUGGUUUGAUGCCAAACUGCAUUUCGCUGCUCGCUACUUGUACAUGUGUAAUGACAAUAAAGUUGAAUCUAAUGGUU
Molecule: long non-coding RNA, 2482 nt
Organism: Gasterosteus aculeatus aculeatus (three-spined stickleback)
Lineage: Eukaryota; Metazoa; Chordata; Actinopteri; Perciformes; Gasterosteidae
Source: Ensembl